Sarcophilus harrisii (Tasmanian devil) is the source of this 140-nucleotide non-coding RNA. The record is from Rfam. NCBI's taxonomy places the organism in Eukaryota, Metazoa, Chordata, Mammalia, Dasyuromorphia, Dasyuridae.
GGGUUUUUUUAAAAAAAACCCCCCCCGGGGGGUUUUUUAAAAAAAACCCCGGGGGGGGGGUUUUUUUUAAAAAAAACCCCCCCCGGGGGGGGUUUUUUUUUAAAAAAAACCCCCCCCCCCCGGGGGGGGGGUUUUUUUUU